RNAcentral lists this transfer RNA (75 nucleotides) under Thioploca sp. Its description in RNAcentral is "tRNA-Val". It matches the Rfam family "tRNA". Rfam says of the family: Transfer RNA (tRNA) molecules are approximately 80 nucleotides in length. Their secondary structure includes four short double-helical elements and three loops (D, anti-codon, and T loops). Further hydrogen bonds mediate the characteristic L-shaped molecular structure. tRNAs have two regions of fundamental functional importance: the anti-codon, which is responsible for specific mRNA codon recognition, and the 3' end, to which the tRNAs corresponding amino acid is attached (by aminoacyl-tRNA synthetases). tRNAs cope with the degeneracy of the genetic code in two manners: having more than one tRNA (with a specific anti-codon) for a particular amino acid; and 'wobble' base-pairing, i.e. permitting non-standard base-pairing at the 3rd anti-codon position. The record is from RNAcentral. Lineage: Bacteria; Pseudomonadati; Pseudomonadota; Gammaproteobacteria; Thiotrichales; Thiotrichaceae.
GGUCGAUUAACUCAGCGGUAGAGUGAUGCCCUUACAAGGCGUAAGUCGGGGGUUCGAAUCCCUCAUCGACUACCA